UACGUAGGGUGCGAGCGUUAAUCGGAAUUACUGGGCGUAAAGCGUGCGCAGGCGGUUUUGUAAGUCUGACGUGAAAUCCCCGGGCUCAACCUGGGAAUGGCGUUGGAGACUGCAAGGCUGGAAUCUGGCAGAGGGGGGUAGAAUUCCACGUGUAGCAGUGAAAUGCGUAGAGAUGUGGAGGAACACCGAUGGCGAAGGCAGCCCCCUGGGUCAAGAUUGACGCUCAUGCACGAAAGCGUGGGGAGCAAACAGG
Molecule: ribosomal RNA, 253 nt
Filed under: uncultured bacterium
Lineage: Bacteria
Description: partial 16S ribosomal RNA
Rfam family: Bacterial small subunit ribosomal RNA
Source: RNAcentral